This 943-nucleotide ribosomal RNA is filed under the name uncultured bacterium. RNAcentral describes it as "bacterial SSU rRNA". It matches the Rfam family "Bacterial small subunit ribosomal RNA", at positions 60 to 1046 of the family's 1533-position model. The record is from RNAcentral.
AGUCGANCGCCCUAGCAUAGGGAGUGGCGCACGGGUGAGUAACGCGUGGGAACAUGCCCCUUAGUACGGGACAACGUCGGGAAACUGACGCUAAUACCGUAUAAUAUCUCCGGAUCAAAGAUUUAUCGCUGAGGGAGUGGCCCGCGUCUGAUUAGCUAGUUGGUGAGGUAAUAGCUCACCAAGGCUACGAUCAGUAGCAGGUCUGAGAGGAUGAUCUGCCACACUGGGACUGAGACACGGCCCAGACUCCUACGGGAGGCAGCAGUUAGGAAUAUUGGACAAUGGGGGAAACCCUGAUCCAGCCAUGCCGCGUGUGUGAUGAAGGCCUUAGGGUUGUAAAGCACUUUCGUUGGGGAUGAUAAUGACCGUACCCAAAGAAGAAGCACCGGCUAACUUCGUGCCAGCAGCCGCGGUAAUACGAAGGGUGCAAGCGUUGUUCGGAAUCACUGGGCGUAAAGAAUGCGUAGGCGGCUUAAUAAGUCGGGAGUGAAAUCCCAGGGCUCAACCCUGGAACUGCUCUCGAAACUAUUUUGCUAGAGUCCCGGAGGGGUUAGCGGAAUUCCGAGUGUAGAGGUGAAAUUCGCAGAUAUUCGGAGGAACACCAGUGGCGAAGGCGGCUAACUGGACGGGAACUGACGCUGAGGCAUGAAAGUGCGGGGAUCAAACAGGAUUAGAUACCCUGGUAGUCCACACCGUAAACGAUGUGUGCUAGUUGUCAGGCAGCUUUGCUGUUUGGUGACGGAGCUAACGUUUUAAGCACACCGCCUGGGAAGUACGGCCGCAAGGUUAAAACUCAAAGGAAUUGACGGGGACCCGCACAAGCAGUGGAACAUGUCCUUUAAUUCGUAGCAACGCGAAGAANCCUUACCUACCCUUGACAUACCAGUUGUGAUUUCCAGAGAUGGAUUUCUUCAUUUAGUUGGGCUGGAUACAGGNGCUGCAU